UACGGGGGGGGGCAAGCGUUGUUCGGAAUUACUGGGCGUAAAGGGCUCGUAGGCGGCCAACUAAGUCGGAUGUGAAAUCCCCAGGCUUAACCUGGGAACUGCAUCCGAUACUGGAUGGCUUGAAUCCGGGAGAGGGAUGCGGAAUUCCAGGUGUAGCGGUGAAAUGCGUAGAUAUCUGGAGGAACACCGGUGGCGAAGGCGGCAUCCUGGACCGGCAUUGACGCUGAGGAGCGAAAGCCAGGGGAGCAAACGGG
This 254-nucleotide ribosomal RNA is filed under the name uncultured bacterium. RNAcentral describes it as "partial 16S ribosomal RNA". It matches the Rfam family "Bacterial small subunit ribosomal RNA", at positions 524 to 776 of the family's 1533-position model. The record is from RNAcentral.